This is a long non-coding RNA of Phyllopteryx taeniolatus (common seadragon), 471 nucleotides long. RefSeq lists it as uncharacterized. The record is from RefSeq and is a predicted model, not a curated record. The transcript has 3 exons. Lineage: Eukaryota; Metazoa; Chordata; Actinopteri; Syngnathiformes; Syngnathidae.
UCACGGCGACUGCAUCAGCCUCCUGGUCCUCCAUGUGAGAGGAGGACGAAGAGGAUUCUUCUUCAGGGCCUGAAAUGAGACACACAGGAAAACAUCAGCCGAGCCUCCUUCAAAGUUCACGAAAUGCUGCUAACUAGUUCCCUUUUUGGAGCUUGCCUCUCCCUCCCUCUCUCUCUCUCGCUCUCUCUCACUCUCUCUCCUCAGGAAUCAGCACCACCUUGGCUGCGCACCUGUCAUCAAUCAGCACUCAUCACUGCCUGCAUAUAAGCCUGCCAGAUCCAAGAGUCCAUAGCCAGAGUCAAUAGACACUUCAUUGUGUGCCUCCCGAUUCACUGCCGCUCCAACCACGUUGUCAAGCUCUUCUACCACCUCAUGUUCCCGCUUCCUGCACAGUCCUUGUUUCUACGGACCACGAUCCCGCCUUGGACACCCGAACGCUAAGCUACUGGCAAAUAAACCACUCAUCUACUC